RNAcentral lists this ribosomal RNA (506 nucleotides) under uncultured bacterium. RNAcentral's name for it is "partial 16S ribosomal RNA". It matches the Rfam family "Bacterial small subunit ribosomal RNA", at positions 29 to 523 of the family's 1533-position model. The record is from RNAcentral.
AGUGAACGCUGGCGGUAGGCCUAACACAUGCAAGUCGAACGGCAGCACAGGAGAGCUUGCUCUCUUGGUGGCGAGUGGCGGACGGGUGAGGAAUACAUCGGAAUCUACUCUGUCGUGGGGGAUAACGUAGGGAAACUUACGCUAAUACCGCAUACGACGUACGGGUGAAAGCAGGGGACCUUCGGGCCUGGCGCGAUUGAAUGAGCGGAUGUCGGAUUAGCUAGUUGGCGGGGUAAAGGCCCACCAAGGCGACGAUCCGUAGCGGGUCUGAGAGGAUGAACAGCCACACUGGAACUGAGACACGGUCCAGACUCCUACGGGAGGCAGCAGUGGGGAAUAUUGGACAAUGGGCGCAAGCCUGAUCUAGCCAUACCGCGUGGGUGAAGAAGGCCUUCGGGUUGUAAAGCCCUUUUGUUGGGAAAGAAAUCCAGCUGGCUAAUACCCGGUUGGGAUGACGGUACCCAAAGAAUAAGCACCGGCUAACUUCGUGCCAGCCGCCGCCGUAA